RNAcentral lists this long non-coding RNA (1300 nucleotides) under Sus scrofa (pig). Its description in RNAcentral is "lncRNA (ENSSSCG00015034630.1)". Lineage: Eukaryota; Metazoa; Chordata; Mammalia; Artiodactyla; Suidae. The record is from RNAcentral.
CAGAAGAGGAGGCCGCAGAAGCGCGCGGCUCUGCGGACCCAAAUGGAGCCAGCAGCGGCCGCAGCCCGAGGGGCUGAGCAGGCCUCCCAGAGGGCGAGGGAGUUCAAGGGCCUGGGGGCCCACACAGUGCAGUCAGGCCCACGUGCCUUGUCCCAGAGCUUUGCAGACAAGAACCUGCUACCCCUGACACCCCGGCAGCUGGCAGGUAAGGGCUCAGGACUGGAAGCUGGGAGGAAAACCAGGGGGUGCUCAGAGCAGAAUGCAACCGACUUGGCUGCCCAGGGGCUGGGAAGGCUGUGAGAAGCCAAGCCAGUGAUUGUAUUGGAACCUUCUCUCCCUGCCAGUCAGACUUGCUCAUCUCUGCUACCCCAGGGUUCACUGCUGGGGGUGGGUGGGGGAGUGUGAAGAAGGGAUGGAUGGAUGGAUUGGUGGAUAGAAAGUAUUUAGAGGAGUUCCUGUCGUGGCUCAGUGAUUAACGAAUCUGACUAGGAACGAUGAGGUUAUGGGUUCGAUCCCUGUCCUUGCUCAGUGGGUCAAGGAUCCGGUAUUGCUGUGGGCUGUGGUGUAGGUUGCAGAUGUGGCUCAGAUCCAGCGCUGCUAUGGCUCUGGCAUAGGCUUGGCGGCUACAGCUACGAUUAGACCCCUAGCCUGGGUGUGGCCCUAGAAAAGGCAAAAAGACAAAAAAAAAAAAAAAAAAAAAAAAAAAAGAAAGAAAGUAUUUAGAUAGUGGAUGGAUGGAUGGUGGAUGAAUGAACAGAAUGGAAGGAAGAAGGGAAACUGGGAGAAAGGAUGGAAAAAAAGAAUCUGAGGUCCCCACGCUGCUGGGGUUUGGGGCUGUGGGGGCUGUGAGUAGGGGUGGAAGGAAUCCCAAUGCCCUUGCCAAGAUCGUGCCCUGAUAUUGGCAGGGACCCCUCAAAGCAGAAUCAUUCUAUUCAUCAUCAGUGAUUUUCAGUACCUGCUAUGUGCCAGGCGCCAGCAGCGCUCAAGGAGCCCUCAGGCACUGUCUCCAGGGCCAGACUGCUGGCGUCCAAAGCCCAGCAUUACCCCUACUGGAGACAUGACCUUGGACAUGAGUUUUUAAUGUUUUUCAUAUAAACAUGUCCAAACGUGAGUUUUCAACACGAGAAUUGAAUGGACACGUAACAAGUGCCAACACACAGCAGCCACUGUUUUCUUUACAUUGUUAUAAUACCCAGGGGGUUGGUGGAUUCCAGUCUUGUCUCAUCCGGGCCACAGUGGGCGAAUCUCAGUGUUCCUGUGUGUGCUCUUUACCUGCUGCCUUUCCCCCUCCCGGCCCCUA